CGGCCCUCCCUGGAUUCACACACACACACACACACACACACACACACACACACACACACACACACACACACACACACACACACACAAUCCAACCUGGAGAUUCUCCAUCCUCCAACCUGUGGAUCCUCCUAACCUGCACUUUCGGUGUCCUCGUGGGGUCGAGCAUGACCCCGACCACAACCCCCCCACUGCACAUCCUCACCCACUUGUGGGGUCAGUCGAAAACCCUCCUCCGUUGCCCUCGUGGGGUCUAAAAAUGAGAGCUGCGUGAGGGUUAAGAUGAUCACAUUUUAACCCAAACUAUCGUAUGAAAUUUAACAACUUUAAAAGUCACGUGAAUUUUAAAACAAACUUAUUCUAUGGGCACAUAGCCUAUGGAAAUCAAGGAGGUUCAGUUAUUUCGACAAUUUUAUUGAUUUUCGGAACUAGAGACUUGAUGUCGUGUCCGUGUUUUCUUUUGCAUGUUUUUAACAUCGUAGUGUCCAACGCACCUUGAAUACCGCAGCGGCAGAAGGAUUCGGCCUCAUUGAACAGGUUGAAUCCGCUCCUGAACCGUAGCGUCCAACUCGCAGACAGGCCGGUGAAAAAGCUUGGUCUAUUGGCCAGUCUCUGCACCACCGGAGUCUUUUACUAGAUGGGUAACAUUUUGAACUCGCGUUUCUUAUUUUCGCUCUAAAAACGAUAAUUACUGUAUGUCUGGGCGACACUGAUACAUGCUGGCAAGCAGAGGCAAGAGAAGCAUCUCCUACAACUGCAGGGGUUUCCUUUGGUUAAACAAAUUCUGUCUCUGCUCUUUAAAUUUGUUUCGGUUUGUUCCGUGUAAUUCUAAUUUAACUAUUGGUUGAUUACUAUUUUUGUUUCAGGUGCCCCAACCAACCUUCUUAUCAAGCCUCUCUUCCACCGCUACCACCUCUUAGCAAGCCUCUGGUGGGACGGGUUCAUCCUCUGCGCUGAGACUUAAUUAUGAUAUGCCACAGCAACGUCAGCCCCAAGUAUUGGCUGAGGUGGAGUCAACUUUAGCAGCAGUGAUGCAGCAUCAUAAUGCACAAGACUGCGCCCUACAGAACCUCGCAGCGCAGAUGAAGGCACUCCCUAAAGUUGUGGGCUGUGAGCUGCCACCUACUCGGGAUUUGCUGGUUAUAGACGGACAUGGAUCUACUCUGCAGCUUGCAUUAUUACACGCCAAGUGUGUGUUUCACUGUUUGAUAAAGGGAAGGGAACAAACUCAAUACUUGGUGGAGGAAAGGUUGUCUGCAAUACAUCUGAAUCUGAACUGUGAUAAAGAAAAAUAA
Molecule: long non-coding RNA, 1292 nt
Organism: Betta splendens (Siamese fighting fish)
Lineage: Eukaryota; Metazoa; Chordata; Actinopteri; Anabantiformes; Osphronemidae
Source: Ensembl